ACGGGGGGGGCAAGCGUUGUUCGGAAUUACUGGGCGUAAAGGGCGCGUAGGCGGUUCGCUAAGUUGGAUGUGAAAACUCUGGGCUCAACCCAGAGCCUGCAUCCAAAACUGGCGGGCUAGAGUUCUGGAGGGGGUAGCGGAAUUCCUGGUGUAGCGGUGAAAUGCGUAGAUAUCAGGAGGAACACCGGUGGCGAAGGCGGCUACCUGGACAGAAACUGACGCUGAGGCGCGAAAGCUAGGGGAGCAAACAGGA
This 253-nucleotide ribosomal RNA is filed under the name uncultured prokaryote. RNAcentral describes it as "partial 16S ribosomal RNA". It matches the Rfam family "Bacterial small subunit ribosomal RNA", at positions 525 to 777 of the family's 1533-position model. The record is from RNAcentral.